UUCGGAGGUACUCGAGUGGCGAACGGGUGAGUAACACGUGGGUAAUCUGCCCUGCACUUCGGGAUAAGCCUGGGAAACUGGGUCUAAUACCGGAUAGGACCUUUUGGUGCAUGCCUUUUGGUGGAAAGCUUUUGCGGUGUGGGAUGGGCCCGCGGCCUAUCAGCUUGUUGGUGGGGUGCCGGCCUACCAAGGCGACGACGGGUAGCCGGCCUGAGAGGGUGUCCGGCCACACUGGGACUGAGAUACGGCCCAGACUCCUACGGGAGGCAGCAGUGGGGAAUAUUGCACAAUGGGCGCAAGCCUGAUGCAGCGACGCCGCGUGGGGGAUGACGGCCUUCGGGUUGUAAACCUCUUUCAGCAGGGACGAAGCGCAAGUGACGGUACCUGCAGAAGAAGCACCGGCCAACUACGUGCCAGCAGCCGCGGUAAUACGUAGGGUGCGAGCGUUGUCCGGAAUUACUGGGCGUAAAGAGCUCGUAGGUGGUUUGUCGCGUUGUUCGUGAAAACCGGGGGCUUAACCCUCGGCGUGCGGGCGAUACGGGCAGACUGGAGUACUGCAGGGGAGACUGGAAUUCCUGGUGUAGCGGUGGAAUGCGCAGAUAUCAGGAGGAACACCGGUGGCGAAGGCGGGUCUCUGGGCAGUAACUGACGCUGAGGAGCGAAAGCGUGGGGAGCGAACAGGAUUAGAUACCCUGGUAGUCCACGCCGUAAACGGUGGGUACUAGGUGUGGGUUUCCUUCCUUGGAAUCCGUGCCGUAGCUAACGCAUUAAGUACCCCGCCUGGGGAGUACGGCCGCAAGGCUAAAACUCAAAGGAAUUGACGGGGGCCCGCACAAGCGGCGGAGCAUGUGGAUUAAUUCGAUGCAACGCGAAGAACCUUACCUGGGUUUGACAUGCACAGGACGCCGGCAGAGAUGUCGGUUCCCUUGUGGCCUGUGUGCAGGUGGUGCAUGGCUGUCGUCAGCUCGUGUCGUGAGAUGUUGGGUUAAGUCCCGCAACGAGCGCAACCCUUGUCUCAUGUUGCCAGCGGGUAAUGCCGGGGACUCGUGAGAGACUGCCGGGGUCAACUCGGAGGAAGGUGGGGAUGACGUCAAGUCAUCAUGCCCCUUAUGUCCAGGGCUUCACACAUGCUACAAUGGCCGGUACAAAGGGCUGCGAUGCCGUAAGGUUAAGCGAAUCCUUUUAAAGCCGGUCUCAGUUCGGAUCGGGGUCUGCAACUCGACCCCGUGAAGUCGGAGUCGCUAGUAAUCGCAGAUCAGCAACGCUGCGGUGAAUACGUUCCCGGGCCUUGUACACACCGCCCGUCACGUCAUGAAAGUCGGUAACACCCGAAGCCAGUGGCCUAACCUUUNGAGGGAGC
This 1360-nucleotide ribosomal RNA is filed under the name Mycobacterium sp. DWMJ-1024B1. RNAcentral's name for it is "bacterial SSU rRNA". It matches the Rfam family "Bacterial small subunit ribosomal RNA", at positions 79 to 1453 of the family's 1533-position model. The record is from RNAcentral. Lineage: Bacteria; Bacillati; Actinomycetota; Actinomycetes; Mycobacteriales; Mycobacteriaceae.